GCAUGGAUCUCCGCAGGUUUGAAACCCGGAAUGCAAAAUAAGAGGCUUGGAGGGAAAAGCAACACAUAAUCUGGUGCUCUUAUUUGUGGGUGGUGGGUGACACAAAGGCUCCUUCCUUCUCUGGGAAUUUUGGGUACGGUGUUACCUGUCCCUCCCAGGUCCUCCACUGUCUCAGGAGUGAUGGACACUUUCACUUCUCCCCAGGGCUGUUCCUGUGGCUGUUAAGGUCACAUUCUGGCUCUCCACAAGAAUGCGUCCAUUGGAAUAGACGUCCUCAAUCUUCCUGUCCAUGAGAAGCAGAAAGUGAUGAUGGACAACUCAGACCCCGUGGAAAGAAGGGCUGAAAAGAACACGGUUUUCCAAACAUCUACACUGAGGUGUGUGUGUGCGCACUUGGCAGGUUUUACGACAGAAAAUUAAGCAUUUCUAAGUUUCUCCACCUAAUGUCUUGGAAAACUUGGAAACUUUUCUCUUGAUAUUUGGAUAUGUAAAUAAAAGUCCUUCAUCAUGUUCUAGCCUCAA
Long non-coding RNA from Mesocricetus auratus (golden hamster), 522 nucleotides. RefSeq lists it as uncharacterized. The transcript is spliced from 2 exons. Lineage: Eukaryota; Metazoa; Chordata; Mammalia; Rodentia; Cricetidae. The record is from RefSeq and is a predicted model, not a curated record.